GCUGGCGGCGUGCCUAAUACAUGCAAGUCGAGCGAACAGAUAAGGAGCUUGCUCCUUUGACGUUAGCGGCGGACGGGUGAGUAACACGUGGGUAACCUACCUAUAAGACUGGGAUAACUUCGGGAAACCGGAGCUAAUACCGGAUAACAUUUGGAACCGCAUGGUUCUAAAGUGAAAGAUGGUUUUGCUAUCACUUAUAGAUGGACCCGCGCCGUAUUAGCUAGUUGGUAAGGUAACGGCUUACCAAGGCGACGAUACGUAGCCGACCUGAGAGGGUGAUCGGCCACACUGGAACUGAGACACGGUCCAGACUCCUACGGGAGGCAGCAGUAGGGAAUCUUCCGCAAUGGGCGAAAGCCUGACGGAGCAACGCCGCGUGAGUGAUGAAGGGUUUCGGCUCGUAAAACUCUGUUAUUAGGGAAGAACAAACGUGUAAGUNACNGUGCACGUCUG
Molecule: ribosomal RNA, 453 nt
Filed under: Staphylococcus saprophyticus
Lineage: Bacteria; Bacillati; Bacillota; Bacilli; Caryophanales; Staphylococcaceae
Description: bacterial SSU rRNA
Rfam family: Bacterial small subunit ribosomal RNA
Source: RNAcentral